This 94-nucleotide microRNA precursor is filed under the name Trypanosoma congolense IL3000. The record is from RNAcentral. Lineage: Eukaryota; Euglenozoa; Kinetoplastea; Trypanosomatida; Trypanosomatidae.
AGGAGGAGGAGGAGGGAGAGAAGGAGAGAGAAAUUAACAAGUUUUAUUAUGCCUGUGUUCUCUCUCUCUUUGUCUCUUUGACUCUCUCUCUCCU